RNAcentral lists this ribosomal RNA (492 nucleotides) under uncultured bacterium. RNAcentral's name for it is "partial 16S ribosomal RNA". It matches the Rfam family "Bacterial small subunit ribosomal RNA", at positions 29 to 507 of the family's 1533-position model. The record is from RNAcentral.
AGUGAACGCUGGCGGUAGGCCUAACACAUGCAAGUCGAACGGCAGCACAGUAAGAGCUUGCUCUUACGGGUGGCGAGUGGCGGACGGGUGAGGAAGACAUCGGAAUCUACUUUUUCGUGGGGGAUAACGUAGGGAAACUUACGCUAAUACCGCAUACGACCUACGGGUGAAAGCAGGGGAUCUUCGGACCUUGCGCGAUUGAAUGAGCCAAUGUCGGAUUAGCUAGUUGGCGGGGUAAAGGCCCACCAAGGCGACGAUCCGUAGCUGGUCUGAGAGGAUGAUCACCCACACUGUAACUGAGACACGGUCCACACUCCUACGGGAGGCAGCAGUGGGGAAUACUAGACAAUGGGGGCAAGCCUGAUCCAGCCAUAUCGCGUGGGUGAAGAAGGCCUUCGGGUUGUAAAGCCCUUUUGUUGGGAAAGAAAAGCAGCAGGUUAAUACCCCGCUGUUCUGACGGUACCCAAAGAAUAAGCACCGGCUAACUUCGUG